This 254-nucleotide ribosomal RNA is filed under the name uncultured bacterium. RNAcentral's name for it is "partial 16S ribosomal RNA". It matches the Rfam family "Bacterial small subunit ribosomal RNA", at positions 524 to 776 of the family's 1533-position model. The record is from RNAcentral.
UACGUAGGGUGCGAGCGUUGUCCGGAAUUAUUGGGCGUAAAGGGCUCGUAGGCGGUUUGUCGCGUCGGGAGUGAAAACACGGGGCUUAACCCCGUGCCUGCUUCCGAUACGGGCAGACUAGAGGUAUGCAGGGGAGAACGGAAUUCCUGGUGUAGCGGUGAAAUGCGCAGAUAUCAGGAGGAACACCGGUGGCGAAGGCGGCGACCUGGUCCUUUUACUGACGCUGAGGCGCGAAAGCGUGGGGAGCAAACAGG